UUUCAUCUCCAAUUAAAAGCCUACUCUGCAGCAGCAAUAGACGCAAAGUUGCUUCAUCUUCCUUUUUUCUUUUUUUGUUUUAAAACAACAGAGGGAAGAAAGAGGGAUCUGCUAGGCCUUCUUUAAAGCCCUAACUACCGCCACGCCACCGCCUUUCAAGCUUCGCCGCCGACUCCGAUUCAGGUAAGUUUCGCCCUUUCCUUUUUUGCCUUUUCUUUUGCACCAAAAACAGAGAAGCAAAGAGAAAAAAAAUAAAAUAAAUAAAACACAAAGAAAAUUACCUUCAAAAAUUGUUUUUGAUUAUUUGUUUGUAUUUCAGUAUUUUUCCAAUACAAUAUUUUUCUCUUUUUAGUACCCAAUCCCCCUUUUCUUUGUGAUCGAUUUUGGCUUUUUAAAACCGAUCUAUAAAACAUUCAUUUCCUAUUUUUUGUUUUCGUUCUUUUGUUUAUUCUUUUCCCCAUUCCUCGCAUGCUUCCUUUUGCUGUUGUUUUUGUCUCUGUUGCAGGUGUGUCCGGUGUGGGUGGUGCACGUGAUGGCCAAGGGCAGAGGUAGCAUGGGGCGACUGAUCAGAGGCGUGCAUGCGUGAGGGGAGGUGAAGCGGCGGCAGCUACAAAGCAUGAGGCUAGGGUUUUUUUGUUUGGUUGAAAACUAGUAUAGUUUGGGCCAUUCGGGCCUCUAAGGUUUUUAUCAUUAUUAGGCAUUUGGAUUGGGUUUGUUUUUUGGGUUAAUUUUGUUGUAAUGGUCUGUUAAUUUUUAUUAGUCUUGGUCCAUUUGGGUUUUAUGGUCUGGGCCUGGGCAAAAAUGGGCUUUUACAGCUGCCCCUCUUUGCUCAUUUUCGUGUAACGAGAAUAGAGCAAAGACAUCAAAAGGGCCAAUUUUGCCCGGCCUUGCCGAGUCUUGACUUUUUGGUGCUCAUCUUUUUUAAGUAGCCUUAUUCCAGCCUGCUACGUCUUGUUGCUUCGAUCCACUCUACUGCAACUUCAGAUACGCCUUGUAGCUUCAAUCUACUCUGCUACGACUCCAUGGGGAUGAGAUUUGUGUUUUUAGUGUGCUCCACUACUAUUUAGGGAGAUAAGACUGGAUGUGAUCUGCUCCACUACUACUUAGGGAGAUAAGACUGUAAUCUUCAAUCUAUUCCACUGCCAAAUACAGGGAGAUAGAGUUAUCAGCUUCAAUGUACUCCACUGUAGUUACAGGAAGGUAAAAUCUGCCAUCUUCGAUCUACUCCACCACUAGUAUGGGAAGACAAGAUCUGUAUCUUGGAUCCACUUCCUAUCAAUAUAGGAAGAUAGGACCUGCUAUCUUCGAUCUACUUCACGCCAAUACAUGAAGACAAGAUCUGCUUUCUGCGAUCUACUUCGCCACCAAUAUGGGAAGACAAGAUCUGCAUCUUCGACCCACUUCCUAUCAAUAUAGGAAGAUAGGACCUGCUAUCUUCGAUCUACCUCACGCCAAUACAUGAAGACAAGAUCUGCUUUCUGCGAUCUACUUCGCCACCAAUAUGGGAAGACAAGAUCUGCAUCUUGGAUCCACUUCCUAUCAAUAUAAGAAGAUAGGACCUGCUAUCUUCGAUCUACUUCACGCCAAUACAUGAAGACAAGAUCUGCUUUCUGCGAUCUACUUCGCCACCAAUAUGGGAAGACAAGAUCUGCGUCGUCGAUCCACUUCCAAUCAUUAUAGAAAGAUAGGACCUGUUAUCUUUGAUCUACUUCACGCCAAUACAUGAAGACAAGAUCUACUUUCUGCGAUCUACUUCGCCACCAAUAUGGGAAAACAAGAUCUGCAUCUUGGAUCCACUUCCUAUCAAUAUAGAAAGAUAGGACCUGCUACCUUCGAUCUACUUCACGCCAAUACAUGAAGACAAGAUUUGCUUUCUUCGAUCUACUUCGCCACCAAUAUGGGAAGACAAGAUCUGCAUCUUCGAUCCACUUCCUACCAAUAUAGGAAGAUAGGACCUGCUACUUUCGAUCUACUUCACGCCAAUACAUGAAGACAAGAUCUGCUUUCUUCGAUCUACUUCGCCACCAAUAUGGGAAGACAAGAUCUGCAUCUUCGAUCUACUUCGCCACCAAUAUGGGAAGACAAGAUCUGCAUCUUCGAUCCAUUUCCUACCAAUAUAGGAAAACCGGAUCAGCUAUCUUCGACCUACUUCACGCCAAUACAUGAAGACAAGAUCUGCUUUCUUCGAUCUACUUCGCCACCAAUAUGGGAAGACAAGAUCUGCAUCUUCGAUCUACUUCGCCACCAAUAUGGGAAGACAAUAUCUGCAUCUUCGAUCCACUUCCUACCAAUAUAGGAAAACCGGAUCAGCUAUCUUCGACCUACUUCACGUCAAUACAUGAAGACAAGAUCUACUUUCUUCGAUCUACUUCUUGUCCCGGGAGAUAGAACUAUCAGCUUCAAUGUACUCCACUGUGGUCAGGGAGGUAAAAUCUGCCAUCUUUUGAUCUGCUUCGCUGCCAAAUACAGGAAGGCAAGAUCUGCAAUCUUCAAUCUAUUCCACUGCCAAAUACAGGGAGAUAGAGUUAUCGGCUUCAAUGUACUCCACUGUAGUCACAUGGAGGUAAAAUCUGCCAUAUUUGAUCUUCAAUCUAUUCCACUGCCAAAUGCAGGGAGAUAGAGUUAUCGGCUUCAAUAUACUCCACUGUAAUCAGGGAGGUAAAAUCUGCCAUCUUUGAUCUGCUUCGCUGUCAAAUUCAGGAAGGCAAGAUCUGCAAUCUUCAAUCUGCUCUGCUACAAACGAGAGAGGCAAGGUUUGUCUUUGAUUUUUACUGAUCUGUUCUCUAGGGAACAUGACCUGUAUAAUGAACCUAAUUAUGCCUAAUGAUUAGGAUGGCAUGAUCAGAAUGGAUCAAAUGUUCCUAACUAGAUGUGCGUGAAUGACAUUUGAAUGAAUGCAGAAUGUCAUGAAAAUGAUUCCUUAAUGCUUAGGUUGUCAUUCCUCAUUGUUCAUCAAGGUUCUAUCACUGAUGCCUUCUUGUUCAGCCAGUACCUUUGAUAGAAAACCUAAAGAAAUAGACGCUAUUUAGACUAUCAUUUCUCAAAUGUUUCCAACCCUUAGGUUUGGUUAGUUCUAAACAAUAGUCUUGUUUCAGGUCCUCGUAUUAUUUAGAAACUUUCAGAGUAAUAUGCAGAACUCCUUCUGCCUGUGUAUUGUCAGUCCAUUAAUCGUUAUUUCAAUGAAAAAUGCUUGAAAAAGAUUAUCAAAAUGGACAAAAUGAAAUUUUGUUGAGAGCAAAGCUCUUAAACAAACAAAUCAAUCAAGAUAGCAAAUUUUGCUGAGAUACGAGAUGAAUAAGAUGAAAAAGAUUAUCACAAUGGAUAAGACGAAAAUUUGUUGAGAGCAAAGCUCUAAAUGAACAAAUUAAUCAAGAUAGCAAAUUUUGCUAAAGUACAGAACGAGGAUAAAUUAAUCAAGAUGAUGUAUUUUGUCAAAAAUACAAAAAAUGAAUAAAAUGGAAAUAGGUGCCCCAGAUAUCGUAGCAUGAGCUUCUCUGCCCCAAACUUCUUAAGGACCCUUUUGAACUUGAUAUGUGUUUAGAAGUCCUAGAAGGCUUUGUUGAUGCCCCAUCUUUGAUCGAAAACUACUUUAUGCCUCAUCUUUGAUCGAAAAUUUGAAUUGCCCAUUCCUGGGUUUUCAAUUCAAAACCCCUUUGGUCUCAAGGUGCCCUUUGCGGGUUUUCGCCUUGGCCUCUCCUUUUUUUUUUUAGGCAAAGUACCUCUUCACUGAAUCCGAAUUCACAGGAUUGGGCAAGCUUUUGCCAUCCAUCCCAGUUAAAAUUAAUGCCCCUCCUGAAAAGGCCUUUUUUACUACAUAAGGUCCCUCCCAGUUUGGCAUCCACUUUCCUCUGAAGUCUUUUUGUAUGGGAAGGAUCUUCUUCAGUACCAAAUCCCCUUCAUGGAAGUUUCUAGGACGAACUUUCUUAUUGUAAGCUCGCAUCAUUUGUUUCUGGUACAUUUGACCAUGACGGAUAGCUCUUAACCUCCUUUCUUCAAUCAAGUUCAGCUGAUCAUAUCGGGAUUGGACCCAUUCUGCUUCGUCUAACUUUAGUUCUGAAAAAACUCGGAGGGAGGGAAUUUUAACCUCAAUUGGUAGCACUGCCUCCAUUCCAUAAACCAAAGAGAAUGGUGUUGCCCCGGUAGAAGUCCUGACGGACGUUCGAUAAGCAUAGAGGGCGAAUGGCAACUUCUCGUGCCAAUCUCUAUAGGUCUCAGUCAUUUUCUCCACAAUCCUUUUGAUAUUUUUAUUGGCUGCCUCCACCGCACCAUUCAUCUUUGGACGGUAUGGUGAUGAGUUGUGGUGCUUGAUAUUGAAUUGACUACAAACCUCUACUAUCGUGCUAUUAUUCAAAUUUAAUGCGUUGUCAGAUAUAAUCCUUUCGGGCAUUCCAUACCGACAUAUGAUUUCCUUUUUUAAAAACCUGCUGACAGCUGCCUUUGUGACGUUCGCGUAAGAAGUAGCCUCUACCCACUUAGUAAAGUAGUCAAUCACUACAAAAAUGAAACGAUGUCCGUUUGAAGCCUUUGGCGAUAUCAGCCCAAUGACGUCCAUGCCCCACAUGGAGAAAGGCCAUGGGGAAGUCAUGACGUGAAGAGGUGAUGGAGGCACAUGGAUUUUGUCUCCGUAAAUCUGGCAUUUAUGGCACUUCUUAGCAUAUUUGAUGCAGUCUCCUUCCAUGGUAGACCAAUAAUAUCCAAAUCUCAUGAUUUGUCUGGCCAUUGUGAAACCGUUAGCGUGUGUUCCACAAAUACCAUCAUGGACUUCUUCCAAGAUCUGUUUGGCCUCCACAGCGUCCACACAUCUUAACAGCACCUGAUCUUUUCCUCCUUUGUACAGGAUCUCUCCAUCUAAGACGUAAUCACUGGCCAGCCUCCUCAACAUUCUCUUGUCAUUCUCAGUUGCUUGGUUUGGGUAUUCACGAUUUUUCACGUAUCGCAAUAUGUCCUGGUACCAAGGGUUGUCGUCCUUUUCUUCUUCCUUGUCAAUGUUACAACAGUGGGCUGGAGCAUCAUAAAUGCUCAUUUGGAUAGGUUUCACAUCCUCUGGUCUAUUUACUUUGAUCAUGGAAGCUAAUGUAGCUAAAGCGUCAGCCAUCUGAUUCUCGUCUCGUGGGAGGUAACAAAAAGUGAUGUCGUCAAACUCCUCAAUCAAUUCUAGGACUAUCAUUCGGAAACUAAUCAACUUAGGGUCUCUUGUUUCCCAUUCGCCUUUGAGCUGAUAAAUUACCAAUGCCGAAUCCCCACAUACCUCAAGUACCUUGAUUUUGCGUUCCAUAGCCGCACGGAUUCCCAUUAUACAUGCUUCAUAUUUCGCCAUGUUAUUUGCGUAAUCAAAAUCUAGUUUACUGGUGAAAGGAUAAUGAUCACCGUUUGGAGAUACCAAGACUGCCCCAAUCCCGUUGCCCAUGGCAUUUGAGGCUCCGUCAAAAUUUAAUUUCCAAGUAUUGCCUUCUUGUGUGCUUGCUUCAGUAGUUGCCACAUACAUCAGAUCCUCAUUUGGGAAAUCAAAGUUCAAAGGCUCAUAAUCGUCCAGGGUUCUACUUGCUAGAAAAUCUGCUAUCGCGCUCCCUUUUACAGCCUUUUGAUUCACAUAGGUUAUGUCAAAUUCAGAUAGUAGAAUUUGCCAUCGGGCCAUCCUUCCGUUUAGAGCAGUUGACUCCAUCAUGUAUUUCAGAAGGUCUAACUUUGAGAUUAACCAAGUCGUAUGGUACAACAUGUAUUGUUUCAAUCUCCGAGUAGUCCAAACCAAUGCGCAACAUAAUUUUUCAAUUGGCGAAUAUCUCGUUUCGUAUUCAGUGAACUUCUUACUGAGAUAAUAGAUCGCUCUUUCCUUUCGUCCUGACUCAUCAUGUUGGCCGAGCACGCACCCCAUAGAAUUCUCAAAUACUGCCAAGUAUAGUAUCAGUGGCUUGUCAGGGCAAGGUGGCAUCAGUACUGGGGCGUUGGACAAGUAAUGUUUAACUCUUUCGAAAGUUUUCUGGCACUCUUUAUCCCAUACACCUGGAUUGUGUUUCCUACGAAGACGGAAUAUGGGGUCACAUUUCUUAGUUAAUUGUGAAAUGAAUCGAGCGAUGUAAUUUAGUCUUCCUAGGAAACCCCGAACUUCUUUUUGAGUACUUGGCGGAGAUAAUUCUUGUAUGGCCUUAACUUUGUCUGGGUCAAUUUCAAUUCCUUUUUCGCUGACUAAGAAUCCUAGCAAUUUUCCUGAUCUAGCCCCGAAAGUACACUUGGCUGGGUUAAGUUUUAGCUGGAACUUCCUUAACCUUAGAAACAGUUUUCUCAGAACUUGCACGUGUUCCCCUUCUGUUCUGGAUUUUGCGAUCAUAUCAUCAACAUAAACUUCUAUCUCUUUAUGCAUCAUAUCAUGGAAUAAUGCUACCAUGGCUCUCUGAUACGUUGCUCCCGCAUUUUUCAAUCCAAAAGGCAUCACUUUAUAACAAAACGUCCCCCACAUCGUUAUGAAUGUGGUAUUCUCCCUGUCUUCAGAAAGCAUCUUAAUUUGGUUGUACCCGGAGAAACCAUCCAUGAAAGAGAACAGUGAGUAUCCGGCCGUGUUGUCUACCAAGGUAUCGAUAUGAGGCAGUGGGAAAUUAUCUUUUGGGCUGGCUUUGUUCAAGUCUCUGUAGUCCACACACAUUCGCACCUUCCCAUCUUUCUUAGGAACAGAGACUAUAUUGGCUACCCAUUCUGAGUACUUGACCACCUGUAAGAAACCAGCAUCAAAUUGCUUCUUAACUUCUUCCUUUAUUUUUAGCAAGACAUCAGGCCUCAUCCUUCGGAGCUUUUGUUGGACUGGUUUGCAUUCUUCUUUUAUAGGCAAUCGGUGUACCACGAUAUCAGUACUUAACCCUGGCAUAUCUUGGUAGGACCACGCGAAGACAUCUUUAAACUCUUGAAGCAACUCAACAAGGUCUUGCCUUGUUUCCUUGGCAAUGCAAGCGCCAAUUUUUACCUCUCUGCCCUCUUCUAAGAUCACAACUUCUACUGAUUCCUUAUAGGGUAGAAUUUGUUUUUCUUCUUCUUCCAUCAUUCUUAACAAAUCCGGAGAUAAAACGCUGUCUUGGUCACCUUCAAAAUCUUGAGGAUCAUCUAUACUCAUGUCUUGCUCAAAUAGGGACUCUGAAUUAGUAACAGAGUCACUCAUCUCGUUGAUAUCUGAAGACCUGUUAUUGGAACAAAUGGAGGCCCAAAUAAAAGGAUCUAAGAAUACUUGUAUGCAUAUUAUGAUUAUAAAGGGAAUGAAAAGAAUGAAAGAAUAUUUGCUCAAGAUGAAACUGAAUGAUAAGUUUUCACUGAAAUUAGAUUUUGGACAUGUGCCUUUUACAAAAGAUUCUUAUCACCCCCAGGCUUAGGGCAACACGUGUUCUGAAUAUUACUCUAGAUUAGCUCUAAAAAUACAGGGAUCUCUUCCACAGUCCCAUUGUUCAAAACACUCCUAAAUAUGCAAAAGUUUGGAGACUUUUAUUCCUCAGUUCCCUUUUCGGAUAUAUCAUUGAAAUUCCUCGAUAUUCCUUUCAGGCUUUUGACUUGUUCAAGGCAUUACAACUCUUUGCUCAUUAUCGUGUAACGUAAAGAUGCCUAGUCAUUUGACUUUUGUCGGUUUCCAAGUUAACUGGGAUAAUUUUACCUAAUUAGGGUCCUUUUAGGGAAAGUCUAAUGCAAAAUAAAGCAAUGCAAUGCAAAUGCAUGAAAUGAAUGCAAAAGAAAGGAAGGCGUUGAUUCUAAAUUUAAUUCUAUUAGAAUAAUUUUUCUAAAAAAUAGAUUUUUUUACAUGAAAAUAGUUUACAUAUGUGGUAUUGCCCUUCAUAGUCCAAGUAAACGCUGAUAUUUUCUUCAUGGUUAAACCCUGUAAAUUCUCCAAAAGAUGCAUUUGCUAGCUCCUUACUGCUUAAUCUGAGCCUCGAUCUCUUGCUCGCUUAUCUUCAAGAUACUCAUCAAAAAGUGCCAGCUCUUGGAUAAUCUUCGUUGGCAAUUAAAUCAAGUCAUGUAUUCCUUCGUGGACUUCCGGCUUUCUCUCGUCAUGCCUUCGUUGGCUUGAAUCUCUAGAAAUUACAUUAUGUAUUCCUCCGUGAACUACCAGCUUUCUCUCAUCGUGUUUACUCAGACUAUAUUCAGACGACCGCACUAUAAUCCACUUUAUCAAGAAAUUCGCUUCCUUAUGACAAACUAUUCUAUUUAGGAAUCGAAUUUCGAAUCAACACAUUCUUUUCUUUGAUGUAAUGCAAAUACAUGAAUGCAAAAAAAAAGGAAGACAUUGAUUCUGAAUUUAAUUUCAUUGGAACAACUUUUCUAGAAAACAAAUUCCUUUACAUAAAACGGACUACAUACACGGUCUUUCUCUCAUAUUCCAAGUGAAGACACCUUUCUUCCUCUUCAUAUCUGGAUCUUAUGGUCGAGUCUGACGAAUUCUCCAAGAGAUGUCUAUAUUAACUCCUUUUUUGCUUGAUCCAGGCUGCGACUCGUUGCUCACUUAUUUCUAUGAUACUUUUCAGCUCUUUUAAGAAAGUCAAGACAUGACAGCUCUCGAAUAAUCUUUGUUAGUUUCUGUCUUUAGGCAAUGAAGCAAAGUCUUGUAUUUCUUCACGGACUAUCAGCCUUCUUUCAUGUAUUCACUUGGACCAUAUUUAGACAACCGUGUUAUAAUCCACUUUAUCAAAAAAAAUUGUUUUCUUAUGACAAACUGUUCUAUUUAGCAAUCAAAUAUGAAUCAACACCUCCUUCCUAGGAUGAUGUAAUACAAUGCAAUUAUAAACAAAAAAAACAAAACACGUUAGUGCAGAAUAAAUAACAAAUAAAGCAAUUCGGGUGACCACUAGGGGUUUGGAGUGGCUCUACGUAGGGUAGGCUCCUAGGUCUCUCUAUAUGUGGUUUGGUUCUUGAGUAAGGGUACCUGAACCAACAGAUUCCUCGAUCCUCACCCAUUAUAGGCUCAUAUGGACCGAGUUCAGUUCAGGGGAAUACAUUUCCCUAUGGCCAUGCGGAGAUGAAAAUCUCACGAAGACAUAGGUACGGAUGUAUCCCGGAAGCGAUUCACUAUCCCAUGCGGAGGUGAAAACCUCACGAAGGCGUAGUUUCUCACUCCCACUAAAAAGGGUAUGACCAGCGGUCAUGCAAUGUAAUGUGCGAAGGUAUAAAAUAAAAUACAGAACACGAUAAAAAAUAUAACUCAGAACAAAAGAGAUGCAAUGAGAGGAUCGUAAAUUUAAAUCGAAUUUUCAACUUUCGACAAAAGACAAGAAAUAAUCAACACGUGGCUUGACUCUCUUAUUGUCCCCAGUGGAGUCGCCAAGCUGUUGACACCAUUUUUUUGUUAAAAAACGGGGUCGACUUGGAUUUUGAAAAAAAGAAUGAAAACGGGAGUCGCCACCAAUCCUUUUUUGAUGAGGUGUGAUCAGGUCACCUCAAAAAGUGGUUGUUUUUAAUAAAUGAUUUAAUUUUAUUAAAACAACGAUUUUGGUCUACGAAAUUUAGAAAAAUGAGUUCGGGAAUCGGUUACGCACGAGGAAGGAUUAGCACCCUCGACACGCCCAAAAUUGGUACCUUAGUUGAUUACAUAAUGUCUUAAUGUCGAAAAUUGAGAAUUUUGAAAAUUUUUAAAAAUUUUUACGAUCCUUAUAUUAAAACAUAAAAAAAAAUUCAGGAAAAGGGACAUAUUUCACGUUAUCUGAGAAAAAAAGAAUCAUAUCCAGUAAGUUAGGACACAAUGUCUCGAAUUCCCGAUAUCGUUUAAAACUCGAAUUUGAAAAGAUUCAUGUAAUAAAGUUUAAAAGAAUAUUCAAUUGUUUAAAUCAAAUAAAGAAAUCGCAACCCAAUACGUUAGGGCACAAUUUCUCAAAAUAUUAAACAUUGAAUAUUGCAUUUAUUUCGAAAAAUCCUUGUCUCGAGAAAGCAACGUGUCACAUCCAAUGCGUUAGGACACAACAUAUUAAAUUCUUGAUAACGAGCUUUUUAUCAUUUUUUUAAAGAGUAAUCUCGAUUAUUUAAAUUCAACGAAGAAAGUCGGAACCCAAUGCAUUAGGGCUCGAUUCUCUCGAAGAUCUAAAUAUCGAAUAUUACUUUUAUUUUAAAAUUUCAUUUUUGGCCAAUCCGAUUGAAAAGAUACGAUGUGACAACAAUGAUGAUAAUGUAAGUAAAAUAACACGAGCAAAACAUAAGAUAAAUAAAUAAUAAAACGAAGAAAACAAUCAAAAAGGCACAAUAACAAAUAAUAAACAAAUAAAAACUAAAACAUGAAUAACAAGCAUUUAAACAAAUAAAUAAAUGAACAAAAUGAUCCAAAAAAAAAUUAUGAAAAGUUAAAAGACAUAUAUAUAUGUACAAAAUUAUGAAAAUAUAAAAAAAAAACAUAUGUGUGUACACAUGAAUUAUAAACCAUAGAAAUAUCAUAAGAAAAUAUAAAUUUUUAAAAUAUAAGAGUAUGUAUAAAUACAUAUAUGCAUAUUUAUGAAAAAUAAAAGAGAUACAUGUAAGUACGUAUAUACAUAAAAAAUUUAAAAUGCAAAUAUAAAUAUAUUCAUGUAUAUAAGAAUAAUAAUAAAAGGCGUAUAUAUAUGCAUGUGAAUAUUAAGUAUGUACAUAUGAAUGUAUAUAAUAUAUAUAUAAACUAUAUAUAUAAAAAAAAUAUGGUAAUGAAAUAUAUACGCACUAUAUAUAUUUAAAACAUUUAGAAAUAAAAAUAUACACAUACAUUAUAAAGUACACAUGCGUGUAUGUAUGUAAGUAUAAUAAAAAAAUAAUAAUAGUAAUAAUAAUAAUAAUAAUAAUAACUAUAUUAAUAAAAUAAACUAAAAACUUAAAAUGAAAGAUUAUGGAUUAAAUUGAAAAUAAUUGAAGUUUCAGGGGCAAAUCUGAAACAAACAAAACACCAAUGAAUCGAAUGGAACAUGCAGUUAACAGUGGAGGACCGAAAGUCAAAUUAAUCCCUCCGUCCAAAACUCCACGCAGCAAUGGAUUAAAAUAAAACAAAUUCGACAUUUCAUGGCAAAAUUUGAAAACAAACCGCAAUGAUUUUGAACUGAUGGGAUAAAAUGAAGGAUUAAAACGCAAAUAACCCAUCAGUGUUUAAAACCCUUUUCAUCUCCAAUUAAAAGCCUACUCUGCAGCAGCAAUAGACGCAAAGUUGCUUCAUCUUCCUUUUUUCUUUUUUUGUUUUAAAACAACAGAGGGAAGAAAGAGGGAUCUGCUAGGCCUUCUUUAAAGCCCUAACUACCGCCACGCCACCGCCUUUCAAGCUUCGCCGCCGAUUCCGAUUCAGGUAAGUUUCGCCCUUUCCUUUUUUGCCUUUUCUUUUGCACCAAAAACAGAGAAGCAAAGAGAAAAAAAAAUAAAAUAAAUAAAACACAAAGAAAAUUACCUUCAAAAAUUGUUUUUGAUUCUUUGUUUGUAUUUCAGUAUUUUUCCAAUACAAUAUUUUUCUCUUUUUAGUACCCAAUCCCCCUUUUCUUUGUGAUCGAUUUUGGCUUUUUAAAACCGAUCUAUAAAACAUUCAUUUCCUAUUUUUUGUUUUCGUUCUUUUGUUUAUUCUUUUCCCCAUUCCUCGCAUGCUUCCUUUUGCUGUUGUUUUUGUCUCUGUUGCAGGUGUGUCCGGUGGGGGUGGUGCACGUGAUGGCCAAGGGCAGAGGUAGCAUGGGGCGACUGAUCAGAGGCGUGCAUGCGUGAGGGGAGGUGAAGCGGCGGCAGCUACAAAGCAUGAGGCUAGGGUUUUUUUGUUUGGUUGAAAACUAGUAUAGUUUGGGCCAUUCGGGCCUCUAAGGUUUUUAUCAUUAUUGGGCAUUUGGAUUGGGUCUGUUUUUUGGGUUAAUUUUGUUGUAAUGGUCUGUUAAUUUUUAUUAGUCUUGGUCCAUUUGGGUUUUAUGGUCUGGGCCCGGGCAAAAAUGGGCUUUUACACUAAAUAAUAAAAAAUGUUAUUUUGAAAACUUACAUUAAUCCUGAAAAUGUAAGAUUACUUAAACCCAACAGUAGCAUAAACUAAUACUGAUUGCAAUUCCGUUUACUCUUUGUUUGAUGGUUCUCCUAAGGCCUGUAGAA
RNAcentral lists this long non-coding RNA (12027 nucleotides) under Gossypium barbadense (sea-island cotton). Its description in RNAcentral is "long non-coding RNA (GBAR_LNC008737)". Lineage: Eukaryota; Viridiplantae; Streptophyta; Magnoliopsida; Malvales; Malvaceae. The record is from RNAcentral.